Molecule: long non-coding RNA, 2138 nt
Filed under: Oryzias sinensis (Chinese medaka)
Lineage: Eukaryota; Metazoa; Chordata; Actinopteri; Beloniformes; Adrianichthyidae
Description: lncRNA (ENSOSIG00000007580.1)
Source: RNAcentral
GAUCUCCCAACUGAAUAAAAACAAAUAUUGGAGGAGAAGUAUGGAGGACCGGAAGAGACAAAGUGAAAUAAAUAUGCACGCCAGUAAAUUGUUGAAUAAAGGCGUCAUUAAUUAUUUAAAAUUGUCAUUAAUUAUUUAAAAUUGAAAAUAAAUCAAUAAAUGUUUAAAUAUAUGUGGCAUUCAAAUAUCAAAAUAGCCAUUGAAAACCAGAUUUAAAUAUUUCAUAGUCCAGUGUGGGCUGAAAGGUACAAAUUGGAAUAGAUACAUUUAAUAGGAAAUUAUUAAAUUUGUAUGCCAUUAGUCAUUUAAAAUUGGAGAUAAAUAAAUAAAAUUGGAAAUUAAUUAAUGUUUAAAUGUGAGUCAUUAGAAUAGCCAUUAAAUGCUGUUAUUGCCACUGUUUUGUAAGUAUCCUCAGAAUUGUCAUAAGUUUCUGUCAACAAAUAUUUUCUGUGGUUGUCCCUCAAAAAUUGUCCAUUAGGGGGCGGUAAUGAGACCAUCAACAUUGUCAUGUGACUUCAGCGCUAAAAGCUGGUUUCCGGUUUACAGAGCGGCGGUUUCAUGAGGUUUUUGUAUGCAUGGAAACCUCGUAAGUCCGUAGGUACAACAUCUUAAGAUGUCAGAGAAGCAGCGCGCGCUGCCUCUUUGGAUGUCAAACAAAAAUGUGAAGAAGAAGACGACGCCUCUGAAGAGUCAAAGAAAAGGAAAAGCUGAGAGGGUGCUUUUCUACUGCAUGAAUGAGGCCGAGCUGGUCGAAGCAGCUGUUCGGUGUCUAACCAGCAGUUCCCCAAUUUACCAACAGAUUUCUAAAAAGGCAAGCAACGCAAGAGAAAAAGUAAAGAAACCUUUGACGUCACCCAAAAGAUUAAAGCAGAUUUCAGAGGAAAAAGACUGGGACUGCUGCGAUUACCCGGAGACGACCUAUGUUUCUGAGACGGACUUGGACGUCACAGAAGUGGAGACGCUGCCGUACACCAGGAGCCCUGAGGCUGAGAGGUCACACCAGAAUCAACGGACUGUGAGGAACGCCGAUGCUGAAGCUGAGGGAGAACAGGAGAAACCAACAGAGGAUGCAGCACAUCAAGAGGACGAGGCGUUACAACUUGUGCGGGACAUUUUUUUCACCUGAUCACUGUUGUUGUAAAUAGAAUUUCUUUAAGGUAAAAGUAAAGUAAAAUCCUCAACAUGUCAUGAAAAUAUUGAGGUAAUCUUAAUGUAAAGACAGCUAUUUCACAUUAAAGUUUAAGUUUAAAAAAUAUCUUACUAUCGGAAUUGUCUUCAAACUUAAAAUACAAUAAAACUCCAGACUUCCUGUAGUUUUAAAUGAUUCUUCUUUAUUAACUUGGCUUGUUUCCUAAUGGUCAUGCCAUACAAAACCUCAUGGGAUCUCAAGAGGUUAUUGCAGAAAAACCUCCCUUCAGAUAAAAGCAUAUUGGUACAUUUUUAGUUUGUGAAAAAUGAAAGUCAUGGCAGCUGUGAUGACCCUAAUGACUCAGAUACUUUAUAAUAAAGAACAUUUGCCAUUAUUGGCCUCCUGUUGUGUGAAAAAAAACAGCCUUUAUCAAAAUGUUCAUAUUUAAGUAGGUUGGAUCAACAUAAAUAUUUGUUUAGUCAAGUGUAAGUCAGGGGGAAACGGUUGUACAUAUAAUGAAACUAUUAUGAAAAAGCCUUUUACUAAGGUGGUAUUUGUUGUGGUUAUAACACGAAGGCCCUCCUUCAUUAAUAACACAGAAUGGACAGUCACAACAAAUCAUUAGUUAGCAGUCUGAUACUAUGUGUGGGAACCAGAUCUACAAUUAAAAAAAAGGCCAAGCAUGGAUACAAAAGACCAAACUGAGAACAAACAUCUGCUCCACCAGGAGAGCUUCAGUGUCACCCACUGCGGGGCAGUUCAUGACGACCACACCACUAAAGUGUUUAUAGGAACAUCUAUGUAAAAUCUUGAGAGCCCUGCUAUAAAUACCCAGCUUUAAAAAAAAAAGCAGCUGAAACACUACAUUAAACAUAUGUAAUAAGAUUUUAUUUAAAAACUGUUUUUAAAAAAUUAAACGAUAUCCCCACUUAAGUGAACAAACAUGGAAGAGAGUCAGAGCUGGAUGAAUUGGGAGGGUAAGAAGUUUUCUGCUGUUCAUUCACUUUUG